RNAcentral lists this ribosomal RNA (251 nucleotides) under uncultured prokaryote. RNAcentral describes it as "partial 16S ribosomal RNA". It matches the Rfam family "Bacterial small subunit ribosomal RNA", at positions 524 to 774 of the family's 1533-position model. The record is from RNAcentral.
UACGUAGGGCGCAAGCGUUAUACGGAUUUAUUGGGUUUAAAGGGUGCGCAGGCGGACUAAUAAGUCAGUGGUGAAAUUUACAUGCUUAACAUGUGACGUGCCAUUGAUACUGUUAGACUAGUAUACAAAUGACGUAGCUGGAAUGUGUUAUGUAGCGGUGAAAUGCAUAGAUAUAACACAGAACACCGAUCGUGAAGACAGGUUACGAAUUUGUGAUAGACGCUCAUGCACGAAAGCGUGGGGAUCAAACA